This 849-nucleotide ribosomal RNA is filed under the name Triticum aestivum (bread wheat). RNAcentral's name for it is "partial small subunit ribosomal RNA". The record is from RNAcentral. Lineage: Eukaryota; Viridiplantae; Streptophyta; Magnoliopsida; Poales; Poaceae.
AGAGCGGGCAAUUACACCAACGCCGAUGACAUCUUACUAUGCAAUACUUGGUUGCAAGUGUCGAGGGAUCCAUCCGUUGGAGGUGAUCAAAGUGGAGAUGCUUAUUGGGGGCGGAUGAAAGAACACUUUGAUGUUCGCAACGUGAGUGGAAUUGACUGCUCCGAGAGAUCACUUCGGUCCCGGUGGUCGACAAUCAACUCGGAUUGUCAAAGGUGGGAGGCCUGUCAAAAGGCGGUUGACAAGUUGAACCCAAGUGGCACAAAUGAGGACGAUAGAGUAAGUGAAGAGGAGAGGAAAACCAAGAAGGGGAAGAUCAAGAAAGGAAGGAUCUUUACCUUGCCUCAUUGCUAUGAAGUGUUGAAGGAUGAUGAGAAAUGGAAGAAGCGUGAAGAUUUGGAUGAUUUGCAUUUGAGCAACAAACGCAAGCGAACAAUUGAGUUAAAUGAUGAUGAUGAUGAGGAGGAUGAUGCAUCAAGUGAUGACGGCAAGAGAAGCCCCACACCCAACUCGGUUUCAUACUCGAAGCCAAAACGACCGGAUGGGUGCAAGAAAGACAAAACAGAAAAGAAGAAGAGGAAAGGAGAUGAUAAGAUAAAAAAUGCUAUGGAAGCAAUUGUCAACGCAAGAGAAGCCAACAAGGUGAGGAAAAUGGCAAGGAACCAAGAUGCCGUGGCCGAGGAGAGGAGGUUGGCGGCCAAGGAGAGGAAGGUGGCUUUGGAGGAGAGGAAGGUGAGCAAUGAGGAGCGAACUAGAUUGUUGGAAUGGGAGAAGCACUUGUUCUUCUUGGACACAUCUAACCUCAAUGAGGCGCAAAAGGAGUUUGUCAAUCUUUCCCAUGAAGAAGUGUUG